ACUUGAAGAACUAAGGAAAAAGGGAGGGAGGGGGAGAAAAAAAAAACGUUCUCUCUAUCCCUGUAAUCAUUAGAAAGAAAAUGAAGUCCAAAUUGCGUUCAGGGCUGCUGGGACAGAGGAAGAGAAGCAAGAAUGGAAAAAACAGGCCGUAAAGAUGCCAGGGCUGCUUAAGCAGAAACAUCUGUUGAAGUCAUAAGACUAGGGGCCUGGUCAGGCUUCUAACAAACCCAGGAAGAGGAGAGUCUGUGCUGGAUCAGGACGAGCCUGGCCCACCCUGUGCAGGGCCCCUGGGACCAGCUUACGUGUGUGGAGGAGAUACCUUCUCCAGGGCGCCGCCUGGGCCUGGCUUCCAGCAGGAGAGGAAGCGAGAGGGAAGGGAGGGAGAGCCAUCCCCAGGCCAACUGUGCAAGGCCCACCUCUUCGAACAGAAACAGCAGCUAACACGGAUUGACUGUAUGCCUCUCUCUGUACCAGCUUCUUUCAACAAGUUCCAACAACCAUCACCACAUUCCACUGCAUGGGCAGCAACAUGUUUGACAAUACGUCAGUGACAGACACACACCACAGAAUUGGGAAGGUCCGUAUGUUUUUCAGGAGUUUGCCUGAUGGCAAUGACCCAAGUGCUGGGCCAGCUUGAAGUCCUACAAAGCAGUAGGCACAGCCAAUAUCCCCUUUGGUU
Molecule: long non-coding RNA, 679 nt
Organism: Phyllostomus discolor (pale spear-nosed bat)
Lineage: Eukaryota; Metazoa; Chordata; Mammalia; Chiroptera; Phyllostomidae
Exons: 3
Source: RefSeq, a predicted model, not a curated record